GGCUGAGGAAGGGAACGAUAGAGAAGUUUGCGUGUGUUGGGUUGUCCUUGCCUGGGUUUGCCUCCAGAAGUGGAUUUGGGGGUGAUGGAGUCGGGUGAAUUGUAGAAAAACUGCAUCCUCUCAACCCAAAUUUAUUUAUUCCCUUUUAGUUUGUUAGUCUAGAGCGGCCUCACCUCCUCUCCACUACCAUGGUCAUGUCACUAAGGAGUGUUUGGAGGAAUCUUGAGCUUUGCAUCACUUCUCCCUACGUCCAGACCGUGAGCUUGUUGUGGACAGUAGGCAGCGAUUACAGUGAGGAGAGUAGCGCCUGAAGCGGUCGGCAAAGGAGAAUCGGGCCUCGGACGCACAGCCUCGCCUACCGGCCCCCGGCUCCCGGUCUAGCACGGGCCGCCCGAAGCGGCCUCGCCUUCAGUCGGCUGGCACGGGAGCCUUUUUUUCAUGUCCGUCAGCCAAGGGGUCCUUUCUGGGGAGAUCGCGGAUGGACACGGCAAUUGUGAAGAUGGGACUCGGACCAGCUGGAGCGGAGCCCUCUCGGUAGAAUUAGGAGGGCUCUGGAAUUCGAAAUGAACUUUAAGGACACGUG
Molecule: long non-coding RNA, 583 nt
Organism: Ornithorhynchus anatinus (platypus)
Lineage: Eukaryota; Metazoa; Chordata; Mammalia; Monotremata; Ornithorhynchidae
Exons: 2
Source: RefSeq, a predicted model, not a curated record